GAUGAACGCUGGCGGCGUGCCUAAUACAUGCAAGUAGAACGCAGAGGAUUGGUGCUUGCACUAAUCUAAUGAGUUGCGAACGGGUGAGUAACGCGUAGGUAACCUGCCUGGUAGCGGGGGAUAACUAUUGGAAACGAUAGCUAAUACCGCAUAAUAGUUUAUGACUCAUGUUAUAAACUUGAAAGAUACAACUGUAUCACUACCAGAUGGACCUGCGUUGUAUUAGCUAGUAGGUAGGGUAACGGCCUACCUAGGCGACGAUACAUAGCCGACCUGAGAGGGUGAUCGGCCACACUGGGACUGAGACACGGCCCAGACUCCUACGGGAGGCAGCAGUAGGGAAUCUUCGGCAAUGGGGGGAACCCUGACCGAGCAACGCCGCGUGAGUGAAGAAGGUUUUCGGAUCGUAAAGCUCCGUUGUUAAGGAAGAACGGGAGUAGGAGUGGAAAGCCUACUUUGUGACGGUACUUAACCAGAAAGGGACGGCUAACUACGUGCCAGCAGCCGCGGUAAUACGUAGGUCCCGAGCGUUAUCCGGAUUUAUUGGGCGUAAAGCGAGCGCAGGCGGUUAGAUAAGUCUGGAGUAAAAGGCUAUGGCUCAACCAUAGUGUGCUCUGGAAACUGUUUAACUUGAGUGCAGGAGGGGAGAGUGGAAUUCCAUGUGUAGCGGUGAAAUGCGUAGAUAUAUGGAGGAACACCGGUGGCGAAAGCGGCUCUCUGGUCUGUAACUGACGCUGAGGCUCGAAAGCGUGGGGAGCGAACAGG
Molecule: ribosomal RNA, 765 nt
Filed under: uncultured Streptococcus sp.
Lineage: Bacteria; Bacillati; Bacillota; Bacilli; Lactobacillales; Streptococcaceae
Description: bacterial SSU rRNA
Rfam family: Bacterial small subunit ribosomal RNA
Source: RNAcentral